This 467-nucleotide ribosomal RNA is filed under the name uncultured bacterium. Its description in RNAcentral is "partial 16S ribosomal RNA". It matches the Rfam family "Bacterial small subunit ribosomal RNA", at positions 28 to 506 of the family's 1533-position model. The record is from RNAcentral.
GACGAACGCUGGCGGCGUGCUUAACACAUGCAAGUCGAACGGAAAGGCCCUGCUUUUGUGGGGUGCUCGAGUGGCGAACGGGUGAGUAACACGUGAGUAACCUGCCCUUGACUUUGGGAUAACUUCAGGAAACUGGGGCUAAUACCGGAUAGGAGCUCCUGCUGCACGGUGGGGGUUGGAAAGUUUCGGCGGUUGGGGAUGGACUCGCGGCUUAUCAGCUUGUUGGUGGGGUAGUGGCUUACCAAGGCUUUGACGGGUAGCCGGCCUGAGAGGGUGACCGGCCACAUGGGGACUGAGAUACGGCCCAGACUCCUACGGGAGGCAGCAGUGGGGAAUAUUGCACAAUGGGCGGAAGCCUGAUGCAGCAACGCCGCGUGCGGGAUGACGGCCUUCGGGUUGUAAACCGCUUUCGCCUGUGACGAAGCGUGAGUGACGGUAAUGGGUAAAGAAGCACCGGCUAACUACGU